AAUGAACGCUGGCGGCGUGCUUAACACAUGCAAGUCGCACGAGAACGCUUCAGCUUGCUGAGGCUAGUAAAGUGGCGGACGGGUGAGUAACGCGUGGGUAACCUACCCAUAAAGCCGGGACAACCCUUGGAAACGAGGGCUAAUACCGGAUAAUCUUAAGGCUUGGCAUCAAGUUUUAAGGAAAGGUGGCCUCUGAAGAUGCUACCGAUUAUGGAUGGACCCGCGUCUGAUUAGCUAGUUGGUGGGGUAAAGGCCUACCAAGGCGACGAUCAGUAGCCGGCCUGAGAGGGUGAACGGCCACACUGGGACUGAGACACGGCCCAGACUCCUACGGGUGGCAG
Molecule: ribosomal RNA, 341 nt
Filed under: uncultured Bacillota bacterium
Lineage: Bacteria; Bacillati; Bacillota
Description: bacterial SSU rRNA
Rfam family: Bacterial small subunit ribosomal RNA
Source: RNAcentral